CAGGUGGUCAGGUAGAGAAUACCAAGGCGCUUGAGAGAACUCGGGUGAAGGAACUAGGCAAAAUGGUGCCGUAACUUCGGGAGAAGGCACGCUGACAUGUAGGUGAAGCCCCUGCGGGUGGAGCUGAAGUCAGUCGAAGAUACCAGCUGGCUGCAACUGUUUAUUAAAAACACAGCACUGUGCAAACACGAAAGUGGACGUAUACGGUGUGACGCCUGCCCGGUGCCGGAAGGUUAAUUGAUGGGGUUAUCGCAAGAGAAGCUCCUGAUCGAAGCCCCGGUAAACGGCGGCCGUAACUAUAACGGUCCUAAGGUAGCGAAAUUCCUUGUCGGGUAAGUUCCGACCUGCACGAAUGGCGUAAUGAUGGCCAGGCUGUCUCCACCCGAGACUCAGUGAAAUUGAACUCGCUGUGAAGAUGCAGUGUACCCGCGGCAAGACGGAAAGACCCCGUGAACCUUUACUACAGCUUGACACUGAACAUUGAGCCUUGAUGUGUAGGAUAGGUGGGAGGCUUUGAAGCGUGGACGCCAGUCUGCGUGGAGCCAACCUUGAAAUACCACCCUUUAAUGUUUGAUGUUCUAACCUGGCGCCGUGAUCCGGCGUGGGGACAGUGUCUGGUGGGUAGUUUGACUGGGGCGGUCUCCUCCCAAAGUGUAACGGAGGAGCACGAAGGUCAGCUAAUCCUGGUCGGACAUCAGGAGGUUAGUGCAAUGGCAUAAGCUGGCUUGACUGCGAGAGUGACGGCUCGAGCAGGUGCGAAAGCAGGUCAUAGUGAUCCGGUGGUUCUGUAUGGAAGGGCCAUCGCUCAACGGAUAAAAGGUACUCCGGGGAUAACAGGCUGAUACCGCCCAAGAGUUCAUAUCGACGGCGGUGUUUGGCACCUCGAUGUCGGCUCAUCACAUCCUGGGGCUGAAGUAGGUCCCAAGGGUAUGGCUGUUCGCCAUUUAAAGUGGUACGCGAGCUGGGUUUAGAACGUCGUGAGACAGUUCGGUCCCUAUCUGCCGUGGGCGCUGGAGAAUUGAGGGGGGCUGCUCCCAGUACGAGAGGACCGGAGUGGACGCAUCACUGGUGUUCGGGUUGUCAUGCCAAUGGCACUGCCCGGUAGCUAAAUGCGGAAGAGAUAAGUGCUGAAAGCAUCUAAGCACGAAACUUGCCCCGAGAUGAGUUCUCCCUGAGACUAUAAGUCUCCUGAAGGAACGUUGAAGACGACGACGUUGAUAGGCCGGGUGUGUAAGCGCAGCGAUGCGUUGAGCUAACCGGUACUAAUGAACCGUGAGGCUUAACCUUACAACGCCAAA
RNAcentral lists this ribosomal RNA (1298 nucleotides) under Cronobacter dublinensis subsp. dublinensis. Its description in RNAcentral is "partial 23S ribosomal RNA". It matches the Rfam family "Bacterial large subunit ribosomal RNA", at positions 1660 to 2925 of the family's 2925-position model. The record is from RNAcentral. Lineage: Bacteria; Pseudomonadati; Pseudomonadota; Gammaproteobacteria; Enterobacterales; Enterobacteriaceae.